AAAGACUUAGUCCUAACCUUACCGUUAAUUCAUGCCGAACAUAUACAUGCAAGUAUCCGCGCCCCAGUGAAAAUGCCCUCUAUCUCAUUACACAAAGAUAAAGGAGCGGGCAUCAGGCACACCCACUGUCGUAGCCGAAGACGCCUUGCUCAGCCACACCCCCACGGGUACUCAGCAGUAAUUAACAUUAAGCAAUGAGUGUAAACUUGACUUAGUUACAGCAACUAUUAGGGUUGGUAAAUCUUGUGCCAGCCACCGCGGUUACACAAGAAACCCAAAUUAACCGUACACGGCGUAAAGAGUGGCCCCUUAAUUAUCCGAGCAACUAAGAUUAAAACACACCUGAGCCGUCAUAAGCUUAAGAUGUCCAUAAACCCCCCUCAAAGCGAUCUUAGUAACAACGACUAACACUACCCCACGAAAGCUAGGAUACAAACUGAGAUUAGAUACCCCACUAUGCCUAGCCCUAAAUUCUGAUACUUACUCCACAAAAGUAUCCGCCCGAGAACUACGAGCGCAAACGCUUAAAACUCUAAGGACUUGG
RNAcentral lists this ribosomal RNA (544 nucleotides) under Sagittarius serpentarius. RNAcentral describes it as "partial 12S ribosomal RNA". It matches the Rfam family "Bacterial small subunit ribosomal RNA", at positions 8 to 913 of the family's 1533-position model. The record is from RNAcentral. Lineage: Eukaryota; Metazoa; Chordata; Aves; Accipitriformes; Sagittariidae.